Mustela erminea (ermine) is the source of this 126-nucleotide long non-coding RNA. RefSeq lists it as uncharacterized. The transcript has 3 exons. The record is from RefSeq and is a predicted model, not a curated record. NCBI's taxonomy places the organism in Eukaryota, Metazoa, Chordata, Mammalia, Carnivora, Mustelidae.
UGAGCAGGGAGCCCAAUGUGGGGCUCAAUCCCAGAACCCUGGGAUCAUGACCUGAGUCAAAGGCAGAUGCUUAACCUACUGAGCCUCCCCGUGGCGCCCCUGGUUUCUGAACCUUAUAUAUAUACA